This 433-nucleotide ribosomal RNA is filed under the name uncultured bacterium. RNAcentral's name for it is "partial 16S ribosomal RNA". It matches the Rfam family "Bacterial small subunit ribosomal RNA", at positions 29 to 507 of the family's 1533-position model. The record is from RNAcentral.
AACGAACGCUGGCGGCAUGCCUAACACAUGCAAGUCGAACGAGACCUUCGGGUCUAGUGGCGCACGGGUGCGUAACGCGUGGGAAUCUACCCUCAGGUUCGGAAUAACUCACUGAAAUUUGAGCUAAUGCCGGUUGAUGACAUAAGGCCAAAGAGUUAUCGCCGGAGGAUGAGCCCGCGUAGGAUUAGGUAGUUGGUGAGGUAAAGGCUGACCAAGCCGACGAUCCUUAGCUGGUCUGAGACGAUGAUCAUCCACACUGGGACUGAGACACGGCCCAGACUCCUACGGGAGGCAGCAGUGGGGAAUAUUGGACAAUGGGCGAAAGCCUGAUACAGCAAUGCCGCGUGAGUGAUGAAGGCCUUAGGGUUGUAAAGCUCUUUUACCCGGGAUGAUAAUGACAGUACCGGGAGAAUAAGCUCCGGCUAACUCCGUG